AUAGUUUGCAAAGUCCCUUCAGA
RNAcentral lists this non-coding RNA (23 nucleotides) under Mus musculus (house mouse). The record is from RNAcentral. Lineage: Eukaryota; Metazoa; Chordata; Mammalia; Rodentia; Muridae.